Molecule: ribosomal RNA, 468 nt
Filed under: uncultured Desulfobulbus sp.
Lineage: Bacteria; Pseudomonadati; Thermodesulfobacteriota; Desulfobulbia; Desulfobulbales; Desulfobulbaceae
Description: bacterial SSU rRNA
Rfam family: Bacterial small subunit ribosomal RNA
Source: RNAcentral
CCCGCACAAGCGGUGGAGUAUGUGGUUUAAUUCGAUGCAACGCGAAGAACCUUACCUGGUCUUGACAUCCCGGAGACCCUUAGGAAACUAGGGGGUGCUUCCAUCUGGAAGAAUCUGGAGACAGGUGCUGCAUGGCUGUCGUCAGCUCGUGUCGUGAGAUGUUGGGUUAAGUCCCGCAACGAGCGCAACCCUUGCCUUUAGUUGCCAGCAGUUCGGCUGGGCACUCUAAAGGGACUGCCGGUGUUAAACCGGAGGAAGGUGGGGAUGACGUCAAGUCCUCAUGGCCUUUAUGACCAGGGCUACACACGUACUACAAUGGCCGAUACAAAGGGCAGCGACACUGCGAGGUGAAGCCAAUCCCGUAAAAUCGGUCUCAGUCCGGAUUGGAGUCUGCAACUCGACUCCAUGAAGUUGGAAUCGCUAGUAAUCGCGCAUCAGCAUGGCGCGGUGAAUACGUUCCCGGGCCUU